AUUGAACGCUGGCGGCAUGCCUUACACAUGCAAGUCGAACGGUAACGGGCCUUCGGGUGCCGACGAGUGGCGAACGGGUGAGUAAUACAUCGGAACGUGCCCGAUCGUGGGGGAUAACGAGGCGAAAGCUUUGCUAAUACCGCAUACGAUCUACGGAUGAAAGCAGGGGACCGCAAGGCCUUGCGCGGACGGAGCGGCAGAUGGCAGAUUAGGUAGUUGGUGGGAUAAAAGCUUACCAAGCCGACGAUCUGUAGCUGGUCUGAGAGGAUGAUCAGCCACACUGGGACUGAGACACGGCCCAGACUCCUACGGGAGGCAGCAGUGCGGAAUUUUGGACAAUGGGCGCAAGCCUGAUCCAGCCAUGCCGCGUGCAGGAUGAAGGCCUUCGGGUUGUAAACUGCUUUUGUACGGAACGAAAAGCCUUCUUUUAAUACAGGAGGGUCAUGACGGUACCGUAAGAAUAAGCACCGGCUAACUACGUG
This 482-nucleotide ribosomal RNA is filed under the name uncultured bacterium. Its description in RNAcentral is "partial 16S ribosomal RNA". It matches the Rfam family "Bacterial small subunit ribosomal RNA", at positions 30 to 507 of the family's 1533-position model. The record is from RNAcentral.